GACGAACGCUGGCGGCGUGCUUAACACAUGCAAGUCGAGCGGAAAGGCCCUUCGGGGUACUCGAGCGGCGAACGGGUGAGUAACACGUGAGUAACCUGCCCCUGACUCUGGGAUAAGCCC
This 120-nucleotide ribosomal RNA is filed under the name uncultured bacterium. RNAcentral describes it as "partial 16S ribosomal RNA". It matches the Rfam family "Bacterial small subunit ribosomal RNA", at positions 28 to 150 of the family's 1533-position model. The record is from RNAcentral.